AGGUAGGCUUUGCAUGUAACAUACCAGAUUUUGGUAUAAAAAUAAGAAAUAAAAAAAAAUAGUGUGAGAUACAAUUUUUAUUGAAUUUAGAGAAGUAAAAUAUAAGUCAGAAAUGACUUGUGCGGAAAUCGGAACGAAAACAGAAGAUUUAGAAUUUUCUGUUGGAAACGGGACUGAUAAAUUAGCAGAAAAUGUACAGUGUCAGAAAAUUAUGAAAACAGGAGGAUAAGUCAGAAUCAUUUUUAUGAGGCUAGAUUUAAAGUUUCAUAUCAUUCUGACAUCCGGAAAGUGGAAAAUAAAAUUCGACAGUUAUCUGAUAAAGAUUACAUUUCGGUACAGCUUUCGGUGACCAAACGGGGUCGAAACUGAAAUAUUAAAAUUUCUUUGAACUGGUUAAGUAAAACCGAAUAUGACUGUCAAAUUUGAGCUCAAACAGAUAUUCAGGGAGCUCCGGCGAAAGAUAUCAGAUUUCGAGCUACCUGAAGUGAAUAGUGUUGGAGGGUGUAUUUAUUAAAAGAAGCAUUGCUCCUUCUUCUUCCUCAGCCGACCACACCACCCCACAACACACGCACGUAUGGGAAGGGAGAGAGAAGCUCUCCUUUCUCUCUCUAAAGAUCUCUCUCAUCUCUCCAAAUCUCUCUCUAAAAAUUUGAGGGUCGGUGGAGAGCGAGCUUGCGAACGCGUUGGAGGCGUCGGUUCGAGCUCUCGUGUGGCCGUUGGAGCGGCGUGCUUUCGUCGCGGCGUUCACAUUGUGGUAAGCUAUUGGCUUAAUUCUUAGCUUUAAGUGUUCUCAUAGCCUCUAAUGAGCAUUAUUAGUAUGUUGCACCAUUCAAUUUGGAUUAUUUGGAGGUUAAUUGCAUAUUAGGGCUCCGAAUGGGGUUUUGUAAAAUAGUAGGGUUUGAUCUCAUUUGACCCUUCGUAAACCUAAUUGCUAGGUAAACGAACGCGUUGGCGAAAUCGGUUUGGCGAUUCGUUGAGCCGUUGUAAAGAUAUUAAAGAAACGGACGUUUAGGCUUCGUUUCCGCCUGGAGGGCCGAGGCGACAUCGUAAAGUCAUGAAAACGGAUUUGGAGUACCGUGGCAUAUAACCGAAGACCUAUAAUUUUUGGUGCUGCGAUUCGACGCACAGUUGGUGAGUAUUAGCAAAAUCGGGCCGAACCGGGUUACGGGUGCCGCGGGAGGCCGAUUGCAAGUGUCGACAAGCAAUCGGAGAGCGUUACGAGGUGGGUUGUGUUUACCGAAGCGACUAGGUCGCCUGUAUGUCUAAGAUAAAUGUUCAUCAUUGAUGCAUGUAGUGGUAGCUAUUGAUACAACAUAAGUAUGCAUGAGAUGAAGGCUAAAUGAGCUACCAAACAAUGCAUGAUGACUUAGUGUAAAUAGUGCUAGAUAAAUGCAUUGAUUAAUGCUAAAGUAUACAUGAUAAGCGUGCAUGUGGAUAAUGCUAAGUAAUAGCAUGAUAAGCAUGAUAUAGAAAUAAUAAAUGCAAGCAUGUGGUUAAUGCUAAGAAUAUAGAUGAUGACAUGAUAAAAAUGCUAAGUCCAUGUAUGAUAAGCAUGUUUUAGGGAUGCUAAAGUAAGAAUGCUAAGUAAAGGACAUAUCAUGUGAUACUAGUGGUAUAUGUGCAUGAUGACAUAUUGCAUGUGAUAGAUGAACUAUGUAUGUUGACAUAUAGAGGAUUAUAAUAGUUGACAUUUACAUGUUAAACUUGGGGUCGAUAACUCUAGGUUGAUUAGAGAACUCGACAUUGGAAAACUAGUGUAAUGCUCGAUGUGGACAAUCUAUAUACAUUAGAUCGAGUGGCAUUAAACCUAGUGUCUUGAACAUAGGUUGAACAAGUAUAGAGUGAACCUAGUGUCAUGAACCUAGCAAACACUUAUGGUAUUUGAGUAUAUAUAUUUUGUAUCAUUCAUGCAUGAUAGAGCUAAGUAAAUGUGAACCUUGGUUGCUUUCAAUGACAGGUUUAACAUAGUUGAACAUAGAGAAUGGUAGAACCAUAAUGGACAUGUAUGUUAGGACCCUAUAAUUGUGUGAAUGUGAGAGUUGGACUUGGACAUAGUAAACAAAGUUGACAUUGACAAUAGAGACAUUGUUUGGCAUAGAGAACAUAGUUGUUAAACAUAGUUUAACCAAGAGUGGCAUUGAGACAAGAAUGGCCUAGAGAGCGGCAUGAAUAAAUAGGUAGAAAACCUAUCAUGACAAUGGCAUUGUGACAAGUGGCUAUGAAUCCUCAAGUUGAGGAUUGGAUCUAUACUCACGAUAAGUCUUGGCUUGAGGGAGGUAGCCCCCCUCAAGCGGUGCGCUCCGGAGUAGGUCACCAUGGGGAUAGUGGCCCCGAAGGACGGUCCCUCGAGUGGAAGUACUCGAAGCCUCCUCGAUCAAAAGGAAUUUUGGGUUGUGAGUCAUUGGGGUUAACAAAGUUAACCGGUAAGAUUGGGUCAAAGCCAAGUAAGAGUUACUUUUCAAAGAAUAAACGCACUACAAUAUGAUUGACUCGAGACCGAGUCGAGUGGUUAGCUUGGCUAGGGCAGAGAGGAAAACCUUAGGAGCAAAUAACCAAUGAUGUAAUGUGACAAGAUGUAUAAAUUAUGAAAAAACUAUGGAUAGCAUGAUAGAAAGUAAAAUCAUUUAUUUUACUUGUAUAGUUGCAUGGUUUCAUUUUGCAUAUCGCGAGGCAUGACAUGUAGUUCAAUAUCGAAUAAAUGUUUAAGUAUUUUUUAUAUGUUAUUGGACUAAGCUGUUGCAGUGCCUCAUUAGACCUAUUGGUUGAGCUUUUCCCUUGGGUGACCGUAUCCACUGGGAACCAUGGAGUUGGUUCUCACUCCACGUUGUUUUGGGGUGUUUCAGGUUCACACGUGAGCGCGCGGCGGCGCGAGGCGAGGGCGUAGCUCCAUAGUUAGCGCCCCCCACCGAGACUAGAGAUAGCGGUACCCUGAGUCGGCCUUACUUAGGGAUGUAAGAAAAUUAAAAGAAUCAAGUGUAAUAAUAUUGUUAAAGCUAGAUUGUAUUUGAAAGCUAAAAAGAAUGAAAGAUGUAAUAUGUAAAUAUAUGUGAGUUGAAUGAAUGUAAUAACUUAGUUGUAUUUAUGUUUAUGAUACUCCUUAUGCAAUCUUUGAUUGAAUACUGUUCCUGGUUGGAACCUCGUGUAUUGCUUUGUAUUGAUUGCGACGCCUUGAAUGUACAGGGGAGACUCUGUCCGCGGUACAGGGAAAACUCUGUCCAUUCGGCGGUCUGUUGGCGUGCCCGAAACCGACCAAAUAGGCGGGCUCGGGGUGUGACAGAUAAGAUGGUAUCAGAGCAUAAAAGAAACAUAAAAAGAAUAAUAGAAAAUGAUUUAGUUGGACCUCGGAGACCCUACGAUCGUAAACCUUAGGAGAUUAAGGCUCGUGAGAGACGAGGACUUGUGACUUUUGGCGAAAGAUAAAUUGAUUGGGUUAUGUUGUAAACCUCUAAAACGGAUGUUAGAGGUAGACUCAAGGUGAGGUUUAUUCUCAACAGAGGGUGUUCAUGUUGGGUGCACACAAUAUGAAACCGAGUGAUGAGAAUAGACGCCCUUGCGUGACUUUCGCCCGAUUCGAGUCGGUAUUAAGUGUCUCGUGCUCGACCUAGAAGGUCGAGGAUUAAUAAAGUUGUCGCGUUUUAGGAAGCGAUAGCACUGCGUAGGCGAUCUUCGUUAGAUCGGCGCGGGAUGGGCCAAGUGGUGUCCCUGGGCAAUUUGAGGCGAGCGGAGACUUGGAACUUCGUGAGUUUUGGCAGCUCUUAUGACCUUUGAGAAAUUAACGGAAUUCUCGUCGUGUUAGAUCACUUUUGGUCAAAUUGACUAAAGUGCGUCGAGAGAACUAGUUGGACAAAGUCCAAUUGACAUUCCAACGAUGUUGGAAGGGUUAGAAUUGAGUUCUAAAAGAGUUAGAAAGGUUUUAGCGUUGCUCGGCGCGAAUCGAAGUCGAAGCGGUGCAAAACGGAAAUUCUGGAACAUGUGUUACCGGUUUAACACCAGGGGUGUACCGGUACAGUAUGGUUGUAACGAAGUGAAUUCUCGAAAGCCGAGAGUUGGACUUCGUCUAGGAUCGACUAGUUGUCGAGUGGGUAUGUAACAUACCGAAACCUCGGUAAUUAAAUUCGAACCUUGGUCAAGUUAACCAAAGUGCGAGGUUGCUACACUUCGAAAAGGCCGAAGGCGUCAAAUAAUGCAAAAUUGCAUUACUGGGGAUCUUCGAGAGCUUUGGAAAUCAAAAUCUGCAAAACUGCAGGUUUUGUCCUCUCGAGGACCGGUCCCUGGUGGGAGAGACCGGUCCCCGAACGCGCAAAUAGCGAGAAGGCUGAGAAAUCGACUAAGUCCUGAAAAACCAGCUCUCGGGAACCGGUCCCUGCGAGGAGAGACCGGUCCCCAGAGACCGGUUGCAUUGAGGGAGACCGGUUGCCUCAUGCAUAGCCUGCGCGGCCCCCGGGAGAAGCUCUCGGAGACCGGUCCCUCGUCGGGGAGACCGGUCCCCGAGCCCGAAAAUGGCCCAGUUAGGGCAGUGUAAAAGAGUAAAAGUUGAGAGGCUUGUUUGCACUUAUGCAACAUGUGGGGCUAUGUGAGGAGUAUGAGAGCUCUUUUCUCUCAUUUCUCACCUACACACCCUCUCAUAUCUCUCUUUCUCUCUCUAGAAGACAAGAAGAGGAAGAAGAAAGGAAAGGAAAGAAAAAGAAGAAGAAGGUCUUCCUCAUCUUCUUCAUCUUCUCCUUGGUUGGAGCUUCUUGGAGAGGUAAGCUUCUAAGCUCUCUCUUGUGGUGGAUUUCUAGAGAUAGGUUUGAUUGCUCUAGAAAUGAAGUUUUGUAUUAUGUCAGGGCGUAGUACCUGCCAGUACAGGUAUAGAGCCAGAUGGCACUAGCGAAAUGCUAGAAGUAAUCUAUGGCGAGAAGUGAGACUCGCGGUAGAGAUAGAAGUGGCGAAACGACUCUCAGAGCAAUAUGAGUAGUAAAUUGCGAGAGUUGAGCCAUGAUGCUUAUGAGAAUACCCGAGUGGUCCAAAAAUUUCGGAUGUCAUUCCGGUAGAUCGAACAGUGAAAGUAGCAUCACUGUUGAGAGAACGGUCGAUUAGUGGCCAAGUUUGAGCACAUGGGCCUAAUAGUACCUCAAGGUGAGGUAGGCGGUUGUGCUCGUGCGGCCGGUGUGAAUAGGCAAGAUUGCCUAAUGCUGGACUUCGUGUGGAACGCUGUAGAGGCGUAGAGCGCUCGAGUGUAGAUACCCGUAGAGUGCGGAUGUGGAUUCAGCCGAGAGAGUGUAUUGGCAGUAGCACUUGAGCAUUGCUAGGUGUGAAGUGUGCCAUGGAUCACUCGUGGGACUGGUGACUCGCAUUAGGUGCAUAGUAGCCGGUAGUGAUACGUGUACUCGAUAGAGCAUGUCGUGCGAUUGAUAGUAUACCGAGAGUACGAUUGUGACCCAACCCGGGAAUCUGUAACGGUUUGGGAUCUUAGUUGCUCUUGGUUUGAGUGUGUGCGAAUUCCCAAGUGAGAAUUUCGCCCGAUGAUGAUUGGGUCUGCAUUUGCUAGCGAGAGACACUGCGUAUUGAGACAGGUUAGGCGAUAGGCCUUUGUGGCACUGGCGGUCUGUGGGUUGCCUAUGGAAUUGAGGAAAGCGAUUUGGCGGAUAGCCUUAUCGAGGAAUUUGACUCGAAUUCAUGAACGGAGUGUUCGUGUGAGCUCGUUGCGAAAAUAGUUUGAUGUUGAUCGUGGCAUGUGGUAUCAGAUGAUGAAGUACUCUUGUGAGACAUCAAACUAGUGGAAAGCCACGUGAUGUUGGAUACUAUGCUCGUAAACGAACUAAGACUUGAGGCGUGCCGAAGUGGGCCAUCUCGCGUUAAAGUUAAGGGUCAGUGCGAAAUUAGAGCACUCACUACGGAGCGAUGCACCGGUGAUAUUGCUUCUAAGCAAUGUCGGUGAUCGAAUCAGAAUGUAUUCCCUAAAGGGAAGGUAGGUGCAAAGAAGAGUUCUUUGUGUACCGAAUGGAGGUUGGUGUUUGAGCGUGUAGAGUCGUUGAGUACUGACUUGCGCUGCCCCUAUGACUUGCAAGACUCGUAAUGCACUUUUGUAUCACACUUUGCAAAUGAGUUUGGGAUUAAACCCACGUCCUUCAGUAUGAGCCGCUUCUGGAACCACGAUAGUGUGAAGCCACUUUGGAGUGGGAGAAUGAGUUGGUACCCUCAAUUGCUCGCGGAGCUGAAUUGAGGCGUGGUUUGAAUUUCGCGGACGAAAUUCUUUUUAAGGGGUGGAGAAUGUAACAUACCAGAUUUUUGUAUAAAAAUAAGAAAUAAAUAGAAAUAGGGUGUGAGAUACUAUUUUUAUUGGAUUUAGAGAAAUAAAAUAUAAGUCAAAAAUGACUUAUGCUAAAAUCGGAACGAAAACAGAAGAUUUAGAAUUUUCUGUUAGAAACGGGACAGAUAAAUUAGCAGAAAAUGCACAGUGUCAGAAAAUUAUAAAAACUGGAGGAUAAGUCAGAAUUAUUUUUAUGAGGCUAGAUUUAAAGUUUCAUAUCAUUCUAACACCCGGAAGAUGGAAAAUAAAAUCCGACAGUUAUCUGAUAAAGAUUACAGUUCGGUACAGCUUUCGGUGACCAAACAGGGUUGAAACUGAAAUAUUAAAAUUUCUUUGGACUCGAUAAGUAAAACUGAACAAGACUGUCAAAUUUGAGCACAAACGGAUAUUCAGGGAACUCCGGCAAAAGAUAUCAGAUUUCGAGCUACCUGAAGUGAAUAGUGUUGGAGGGUGUAUUUAUUAAAAGAAGCA
This 6763-nucleotide long non-coding RNA is filed under the name Ananas comosus (pineapple). RNAcentral's name for it is "long non-coding RNA (ACOM_LNC041537)". Lineage: Eukaryota; Viridiplantae; Streptophyta; Magnoliopsida; Poales; Bromeliaceae. The record is from RNAcentral.